CUCCGUUUUUUGUAUGCCCAGUUCAAUCAAAAUGGGAUUUCUUUUUUGUUUCUUUCAUUCUACAGGGAAGGGUGGGUAGAGGGGUUGUUAGCACGGUCCCAGAUCUCGCCAUCUUAAAUGAAUCAUGGGUAACUGCAGACGUGGAGGGUGUCUUGAGAAUGCGCGCGGCAGAAUAAAGGUGAGAGGACCAACAUAAGCGGUUGUAUAAAAACCUAGAUAGGAAGUCUGGUCGCCUCACGAGACUCGUUUUUCUCCUGACCGCUUUCGUGUAGAACUUUAGCUAAACGUAACCCUAACCCUUAACCAUUUCCAAGCUGUAAUCUCAUUCUCCUUACCUACACCAUUAACCGUCUUGAUCUGCCACGAUAAUAAUCAAACCAGGCGUGUUAAUUCUUCUUACAUGCCAUGUCAGUUCUUCUAACCUGCGUGUUAAUCCGACCCCACCUAACUGGCUCAGCUAAAGAGCUAGAGGGAAGUAGGAAGCAGCCACACAUGACUUGAGUGUCCUGAGUGGCAACCAAUCUGCUGUUAGAUUUCCAUUCAACCAUUGAUGCUAAUUCUCUUGCAUUUCGUAAAAAACACUUAUGUGGGCACGCAAGAACACACACAUGCACGCACGAACACAACUUGACAUUCUCUAUGCAGUCAAUUAGCCAAUCGUCGACUUCCAAUGAUUUGGAAGAUGUCAAUGAUUUUGUCCAUUAUAAGUUGAUGGACAACGGUACAUAUCCAUCAAUUACCACCCCAAAAAAAAGGUUUAGAGGAGUUCUGAUGCGCUAUCCAAUUAGAAGAGGAUAUGGCAUGGCCCACUGACCUACAGUAAAUGAAUCCAUCCUCUUUUUGAUGUUUUUUUCCCUCUAAAAUGUUGACACGCCCUUAUGAGAUAGCAAGACCACACAAACAGGUCUGGGACCAGGCUAAUUAAAUGCUUUGCGGAGGUGGAAAGUCAACGGAUACCUGAGCUCUGUGUAGUCACGCUCUUGGGCCUUUCUACAGAAAAAAACCCUCUAAUAAGGCGUCUAAGGUGUCUUUGCUUAUAAUUCUCUGAGCACUUUGGUUUGUUCCUCCCUGCCCAGGACAUGCUACCUGAAAGGGAUGCUUUGAUUAAAUAUUUUUUAUACUUGUUUUCCUUUUACCAUUUUCAGAUCCCACUUCAAGAUACAAAUCUCACAAAUAAUGCAACUAUUUUAAAGGUAAAAUGACUGGCAAACAGUCAUUCACUAUUACUAAACACUAAAUGGACAACACAGAACAACUUCCAUAAUAAUCUGGAAAAAUCACAACUAUCAAUUAUUUUUGCAUCACAUUUCCACUCAUGUAACCAACUGUGCAAAUACUGUAUGCAUGAGUU
Molecule: long non-coding RNA, 1351 nt
Organism: Esox lucius (northern pike)
Lineage: Eukaryota; Metazoa; Chordata; Actinopteri; Esociformes; Esocidae
Source: Ensembl